This 402-nucleotide unclassified non-coding RNA is filed under the name Hevea brasiliensis (rubber tree). The record is from RNAcentral. Lineage: Eukaryota; Viridiplantae; Streptophyta; Magnoliopsida; Malpighiales; Euphorbiaceae.
AGCAGCUUUGCUGAAGCAACAAGGAAUUGGUGUUAAAGGUGCUAGCAAAAGUGCUCCUGUAAAUGAGGAAGUCCCUCCGUUGCUUGAAGGGGGUGGAAAAAUAGAGGUUUGGCGUAUCAAUGGUAGUGCAAAGACCUCAGUCACCGGAGAUGAUAUUGGUAAAUUUCACUGUGGAGAUUGCUAUAUCAUUCUUUACACAUACCACCACAGUGACAGGAAAGAAGAUUAUUAUCUAUGCUGGUGGAUUGGAAAGGAUAGCGUUGAGGAGGACCAAAACAUGGCUGCCAAAUUGGCUAGUACAAUGUGCAAUUCACUUAAAGGGAGACCAGUGCUGGGUCGCAUAUAUCAAGGAAAAGAACCACCACAAUUUGUUGCAAACUUCCAGCCCAUGUUGGUCCUUAA